UCUACGGGAGGCUGCAGUGAGGAAUAUUGGUCAAUGGGAGAGAUCCUGAACCAGCCAAGCCGCGUGAGGGAAGACGGCCCUAUGGGUUGUAAACCUCUUUUGUCGGAGAACAAAACCCGGGACGUGUCCCGGACUGCGUGUAUCCGAAGAAAAAGCAUCGGCUAACUCCGUGCCAGCAGCCGCGGUAAUACGGAGGAUGCGAGCGUUAUCCGGAUUUAUUGGGUUUAAAGGGUGCGUAGGCGGGAAAGCAAGUCAGAUGUGAAAACCAUGGGCUCAACCUGUGGCCUGCAUUUGAAACGGUUUUUCGUGAGUACUGGAGAGGCAGACGGAAUUCCUAGUGUAGCGGUGAAAUGCGUAGAUAGUAGGAGGAACACCAGUGGCGAAGGCGGUCUGCUGGACAGCAACUGACGCUGAGGCGCGAAAGCGUGGGGAGCAAACAGGAUUAGAUACCCCGGUAGUC
RNAcentral lists this ribosomal RNA (460 nucleotides) under uncultured bacterium. RNAcentral describes it as "partial 16S ribosomal RNA". It matches the Rfam family "Bacterial small subunit ribosomal RNA", at positions 338 to 795 of the family's 1533-position model. The record is from RNAcentral.